GGGAUUGUGGCUCAAUGGUAGAGCACUUGCCUGGCAUGUAUGAGGCUCUGGGUUUGAUCUUCAGCUCCA
Molecule: non-coding RNA, 69 nt
Organism: Ictidomys tridecemlineatus (thirteen-lined ground squirrel)
Lineage: Eukaryota; Metazoa; Chordata; Mammalia; Rodentia; Sciuridae
Source: Rfam